Homarus americanus (American lobster) is the source of this 1235-nucleotide long non-coding RNA. RefSeq lists it as uncharacterized. The record is from RefSeq and is a predicted model, not a curated record. NCBI's taxonomy places the organism in Eukaryota, Metazoa, Arthropoda, Malacostraca, Decapoda, Nephropidae. The transcript has 2 exons.
GCUGGACACUGGAGCCGCUCGCAUCACUGGACAACCUCUGGAACCAACUGUUGUCGAAUAUUGCCUGACCUUGGCAGCCUGAAGCCAUCUGAGCAUCAGUCUUCUCGGAGUGUUUACACUUUUCCUCGAGCGAAUUGCCAUUCACCCAACUAAAUCAUCCAACCCAUCAACUAAUCAACCAUGAAGACCACCAUCCCCACCAUCACCAUUUAUCUAUACCUCGCCGUCAUCACCUUCGUCGGGUCAAUCCUUGGGGUCGCCUCCUCGCCUCUCCCUCGUGAUCAGCAGGAGGAUGAACGUCAACUGUUGCCCGCCCUACCAUCCUUGAACGUAAACUUCCUUGGUAUAAGUAACCCAGGAAACAGCCCUGUCAUUAUCCCUCAAGAUCUAUCAACUUUCGUUACUCCGUUCGUCGUUAGUGGUUGUGAAACAGGGAGUAGCUGUGUCAUAGCUGUCAGGUUUAUCCCUCCACCAUUAUUCUAACGUGUUCACUACCUGGUAUAACAUAUGGUGAGAUUUAUCUGUAGAGUUUGGUGAUCUCUAUACAGCUGGUGACCUUUAGUUAAUUGGAUGAUUCGGAACAGCUGGUGACCUCCGUAGAACUUGGUGACUUAUAAUGAACUUAGUUAGGAAUGAACAGAGCCAUGAACAGAGCUAAGCGACUAGAGUAAAACUAUUAGACAUUACUGUAUCAUUACUGUGAGUUUUGUCCUUAGAAUUUUGGGCAGUUCGUGAUGUGAAGACGGCGAUGUGUAAUAUUGGCUACAUUGUUUUUUGUUUGUUUUUCAGCACCAGGAGUAUAGUGUUCAGUGUGCUAUAUCCGCACUGCCUCGGUAUCCACUCUCGGUUUAUAUAAGACAGUGUACAGGGGUAUGAUAAGCGUAUUAGAGUUAAUACAUAUAUUUGGAGUUUUGUUUACGUAGAUUUAUGCUCAAAACGAAAAGUAAAUAAAAGGUAAUAAAUUAUACAGUGUAGGAAAUUUUUAAUUUAAAUAUAUUGAGAUUUCCUUCAAUAAUAGAAGAUUACCAUACAACUUUAUCCUGGUGACCAAAGACCAUAAUUGUUUCAUCUGCUAUUAUUUUUUUAACACUUGCAUCUAAAAUUAGUGACAGAAUAAUAAAGAUCUAAAACUGGUUCAAAAACUUCAACGGGUUAAAUCGAGUAAAAUGAAUAAGCUUACAGCUCUCUCUCUCUCUCUCUCUCUCUCUCUCUCUCUCUCUCUCUCUCUCUCUCUC